CUAGUAUGGGUGACGGAGCCCGCUACGGGUCGGGGGACUACUUCCUCUCUUGGUGGAGGGUUACAAAGGGAGCGAUACGUCCCACUGCUGGGUUCCUACCUUGGGCCGCAGAGUUGGGCGCGGCGAAGGCCGCCCUGCUGCCCGGGGGCGUGGCUCCCAGUGGCUGACCACGCCUUUCCCGGAACCGCUCAGAAAAGCUUGCAGCGACCGGGAGGUUUUGACUUGGAGGUGGAGAAAUAAGUGUUAGCAGUCAUUUUUCCUGGCUCUUGCCGGUUACUGAAUACUCUCACCGAACUAGUAAUCGCAUCCUUCUCGAUUAGGAGCAGGUUUUGGCAGGGUGAAUAGAGCAUGAGGCCUCUGGAUGGACUUGGCUCCCUCUUCUCCUCCUCCUCCCAUCUGGCAGGACCAGGCCCCCAGAGGAGCCCUGGAGAGUUGGGUCAACAGUGGCAUAAUGACAGGUGGGGAAACUGAAGCCCAGAGAGAACAGCUGAGUGGCUCAAAAUCCCACCACAAGUUUCCUAGUGUAAAGCAAGGACUGCGAUUCCAGCCCGAUCGCCUGCAGCAGAUAGUCAUCACACAAGCAAAUGUUUAUUGUGCUCUUACCAAGUACCAGGUACUGCAGUAGGUGCUUUACAUGCAUUUCUAAACUAAUCAUCACAACAAGUAGAGAUCCUCCUAGGUCUUCUCAGGAUUCCCAUGUUACAGACAAAGAAACAGAAGCUCAAGAGAAAUGAAAUGGCUUGUCUGAGGUCAUGCAUUUGCUGGCCAGCAGAUCUGGGGUUCAAACCCUGGUGCCCUGACUCCCAGUCCCGUGCUUCUGCCUUUGUGCUAGAUGCCACAGGAGGGUAGCAGAGCGGAGAGCAGGCAGUCAGCAGGUGGCUGCUCUGGGAUUCAUCUCUACCUUCUCUCACCCUGCCACUGCCAUCUAUGAGUUUAGCUAAACCUGUGCUUAAAACUGUACCACCACUUGGGAUAAUGAGCCGCAUAAGUUGACUCCCCAUGGUGUAAAUUAAAGCUUCCUUUAAUCUGUUCUAAAUCUUUCUCUUUCAGUAUUGGAGGGGAUAGGGGGUGGUGGCAAAAGACCCUAGGACAAGAACAGUUGGAUUCAGAAAACAGUCUAUAGUCCAAAUAGUGUUUGCUUGUGAUGGCAAUUCCUGAGACACAAACAGCAGGUGACAUUUAUGUAAACAUCUCAUCUGAGCGUUACAGAGGCAUGAGAGUAAGCAGCGCCUGGAUUUUCGUGUCUUUUAAUCUGUAUUGUUUCCUAUAUUCCCACUUAACACAGUUUAUAGUCACAAGUAAGCUACUAGAUACUUACUCGUUAAAUGAAUGAACCCCCACUCUAUAGACAAGGAAACAGAAACGCAAUAGCAGGGAUCUAGCUAGGAAAAUAAGACUAUGCCAGACGAUUCUGGGAAGAGGGAAUCUAAUAUGGAGACUUAGUUACAAAGUUGGUGGGGAGAAAGAACAACCAGGAGAAGUUGAGGCAAAUUUGAGAUUAGUAACUCAGGAAGCCACAACCUUCCCUGUGUCUGAUC
This is a long non-coding RNA of Myotis myotis, 1538 nucleotides long. RefSeq lists it as uncharacterized. The record is from RefSeq and is a predicted model, not a curated record. NCBI's taxonomy places the organism in Eukaryota, Metazoa, Chordata, Mammalia, Chiroptera, Vespertilionidae. The transcript has 3 exons.